Molecule: ribosomal RNA, 450 nt
Filed under: uncultured Lysobacterales bacterium
Lineage: Bacteria; Pseudomonadati; Pseudomonadota; Gammaproteobacteria; Lysobacterales
Description: bacterial SSU rRNA
Rfam family: Bacterial small subunit ribosomal RNA
Source: RNAcentral
GUGGGGAAUAUUGGACAAUGGGGGCAACCCUGAUCCAGCCAUGCCGCGUGUGUGAAGAAGGCCUUCGGGUUGUAAAGCACUUUUGUUGGGGAAGAAACCGGCCGGGUUAAUACCCUGGUUGAAUGACGGUACCCAAAGAAUAAGCACCGGCUAACUUCGUGCCAGCAGCCGCGGUAAUACGAAGGGUGCAAGCGUUACUCGGAAUUACUGGGCGUAAAGCGUGCGUAGGCGGUUUGUUAAGUCUGCUGUGAAAGCCCUGGGCUCAACCUGGGAACUGCAGUGGAUACUGGCGAGCUAGAGUGUGUCAGAGGAUGGUGGAAUUCCCGGUGUAGCGGUGAAAUGCGUAGAGAUCGGGAGGAACACCAGUGGCGAAGGCGGCCAUCUGGGACAACACUGACGCUGAGGCACGAAAGCGUGGGGAGCAAACAGGAUUAGAUACCCCUGUAGUCC